This is a long non-coding RNA of Cyprinus carpio carpio, 2900 nucleotides long. The record is from Ensembl. Lineage: Eukaryota; Metazoa; Chordata; Actinopteri; Cypriniformes; Cyprinidae.
CUAAAUUAACUACUGUAGCUUUAAUACAAGCAGGCAAAAAAUAUAAAGUGGCUGUUAAACAUAGAAACACAUACAUCCCUCACUGUGUUAGAUACCGGACGAAAUGAUUGAUCUUAUAAGGCAGCAUAAUUUUGCUGCCAACUAUUUGGAACGGCCUCGCGUCUGGAGCUCGCCUGUGGUGCUUAAAAAUGCUGUGUAGGAAGGCAGCUCGCUGGGUUUGGAAUGGAGCCAUUCUCUCCUGUCAGAUGUCUUUGAGGGAGCAAAUAGGAGACCAAAGUGACGUUUUGUUGCACUAAAUGAAAUGAGAAUGGCAGUGGAAUAUACGGCCGGCAGCUCUUGAGUGCCACUGACAUUUCCAGCGGAUGACGACACAGAUGGUACCGAAGCCAGUGAUUAGUCUCUGCAUGUCUCUGCAUUUACGGCCAUUUCAACGGAGCGGCACUGGUCUCCACGGUCGUCUGUCUCAGCCUGUGCUGCUGAUUCAAGCAGCUUGUGCUCCACCACAGACUGUGUUUCCCAUGGUGUGUCUGAAUCUCUGCUGUUCUUCCUGUGGUGGACAUGCAGCUGCUGUGGAGUUGUUCUCAAACUGAUGGUGAAUUAGGAGAUUUUUCUCUCGGAGCUCCAGAUACUUACACGUUACUAACAAAACAUAUGAAUUGUAUAUGUAUAUGGUUAUCAUGCACUACAAUGCCAUAGUUUUACCAUUAUUGUCACUUUUAUUGAAAGGUAGAGCAGAGAAUAGACAGGAAAUUGUAUGGAAACAGUCACACAAGCUAGAGUCGAAUAUGUGUCGCCAGCUAGAGCAGAAUUGCAUCACUUUUGAACUGACCUAAAGGUAUGUUUUUAUAAGCCAGGAAUUUUUUGAACCAAUCAUGCACUAUGGUUAACAUUACCUAAAUUAACUCCUUGCAUAUUAUAAAUAUAGCUGUUCAUAACAAAUGGUUUAUACAGUACUAUUGUAACUCAAGUGUUACUUUAUUAUCUGAAAGCAAUGUUCUGCUGUGUCAAAUCUAGUCCUCAGAUUUGUAACUGAUCUGAAUCUGAUUUGAUCUGAAAUUGAUGAUUCCCAGUGUCAGUACCGUUCCAUAAACUUCAGUAAGCUGCAUGAGAGCUCACCGCUAAGCUACGUCUGCAACAAAUUCUGCCUUUAGCACAGGAGUCAAUAUCAUGGUCUGAUGUAGGUAGAGUUCGGAAAGGAGGCAUAGUUCAGCUAGAAAUCAUCCUCCUACGCUGCCUAUUCUAAAAUAUAUAAAAGUCUAUUUCUGAUUUACUCUGAGUACAAUAAUCCCGCUCAUGUGGAGCAGAGGCUUUUCCAGUGAGGAGUCAAUUGAGGGAAGAGGGCUUGUAUUGCUCUCCGUCUGAGAGGUAAUUAAUUUCAAUUCCAUUCAUUUGUCUCUUUGCCUGACAUUUUAAGCACUGACACUGAUGUGGAGUUUAUAUGGAUUAAUAAUACCCGGCUCAUUCCCGUUGUGGCAUUAACCUGCUUUUGUGUAUUAUCAGAGAAAAACAGACCUGAACACAAGCGCGACUGACCCACAUCAUUACCCUGAACAUGAAAAAAUGUUUACAGGUAAUCUCAAGUUAAUGUGACAUCUGAUAUUCAUUUACACGAGCCCGGCCUGUUUACUGUCCUUCACGAGCAACCACAAAACAAAAGACCUUUGUAAUAUUUAAUAAAGAUGCUUUUGUUAUCAGUAUGCACACCAUUUUACUGUCUAAAUGAGAAAACUGAGCAAAUACAAAGACUGAAAGCUCUUUCUAGGGAAAACAUGCAUGGCAGUUGAAAUUUAAAGGGAAAGCUCAACCAAAAAUGCUAAUUCUGGCAUCAUGUAUGCAACCUCAUGUUUAAAAACUUUGACUCCUAAUCCUAAGGUUGUGGGUUCGAGUCUCGGGCCUGCAAUACCACGACUGAGGUGCCCUUGAGCAAGGCACCGAACCCCUAACUGCUCCCCGGGCGCCGCAGCAUAAAUGGCUGCCCACUGCUCCGCGUGUGUGUUCACGGUGUGUGUGUUCACUGCUGUGUGUGUGCACUUUGGAUGGGUUAAAUGCAGAGCACGAAUUCUGAGUAUGGGUCACCAUACUAAGCUGUAUGUCACAUCACUUAAAAAGGACUCGAAAGCAUCAUUAACAUUGUCCAUAUGACUUAUGAAAUCUGCAGUCAGAUAGUUUAAUUGGACUGAUGAAUUGACACAAAUCUGAUUCAUUUGGUUCUCAAAUUCACUGACGUGAAUGUGAACCACUGUGUGGAUUAUUGAGUCACCAAAUCGGUCUGAUUAAUUUUAUGAACCAUUCAAGCUGGUUUUGUGAAUCAAAUCAAAAGAUUUAUUGAAAUGUAAAUGAUUUAAUUUGGAAUUGAAUGUUGUCAUUUCUCUUGUUAAAGUGCGAGACUAGAUCUUUCAGUGAAUAAUAACUUAAUAAUAAACUCUACUAUAACUUAAGAAGAUUUGAAAUAUAGAAGUUAUAUGGGCAACUUUUAUGAAACUUCAUAAAUAUCUCUUUUAUUCAGAUUAGAAACAACAUGAGGGGUGAAUAAAUACUGCCAGAAUGUUCAUUUUUGUUUGAACUGUUUCUUUCAUUUUUAAAAGGCCACACCGGGACUCUCAGCUCUGACCUGGGGAGGGUUAAUCAUUAUUCUCUUUUUUUUUAACAGAACUUGUUUAUUUAUUCUGAAAUAGCCUUGUUGGGUUUUUCCAAGGUCUGUGUGGAUGAAUAAGGCUCUCGAUGGGAGAGCAUGAGUGGGCCAAACCCCUCUGGGUGUUGAGAGGCUCCUCAAACAGAGACCAACAAAAGCUUAAUCAAGCAUCAUUCUCCAACCCAAAUAUCACAGCACUCUUUCCAACACAUGCGUCUGCACGAACACUCGGGGUUAUAAUAAAAAAUAAAAUAAAAAACUGUAUUAU